Molecule: ribosomal RNA, 500 nt
Filed under: uncultured Clostridium sp.
Lineage: Bacteria; Bacillati; Bacillota; Clostridia; Eubacteriales; Clostridiaceae
Description: bacterial SSU rRNA
Rfam family: Bacterial small subunit ribosomal RNA
Source: RNAcentral
CCUUGCCAGCCCGCUCAGACACUUAAAGGAAUUGACGGGGCCCGCACAAGCAGCGGAGCAUGUGGUUUAAUUCGAAGCAACGCGAAGAACCUUACCUAGACUUGACAUCUCCUGAAUUACCCGUAACUGGGGAAGCUCUUCGGAGCAGGAAGACAGGUGGUGCAUGGUUGUCGUCAGCUCGUGUCGUGAGAUGUUGGGUUAAGUCCCGCAACGAGCGCAACCCUUUAUCGUUAGUUGCUACCAUUAAGUUGAGCACUCUAGCGAGACUGCCCGGGUUAACCGGGAGGAAGGUGGGGAUGACGUCAAAUCAUCAUGCCCCUUAUGUCUAGGGCUACACACGUGCUACAAUGGUGAGGACAAAGAGACGCAAGACCGCGAGGUGGAGCAAAUCUCACAAACCUCAUCCCAGUUCGGAUUGCAGGCUGAAACUCGCCUGCAUGAAGCCGGAGUUGCUAGUAAUCGCGAGUCAGCAUGUCGCGGUGAAUACGUUCCCGGGCCUU